RNAcentral lists this ribosomal RNA (186 nucleotides) under Salmonella enterica subsp. enterica serovar Kentucky str. 20793. Its description in RNAcentral is "partial 23S ribosomal RNA". It matches the Rfam family "Bacterial large subunit ribosomal RNA", at positions 1 to 178 of the family's 2925-position model. The record is from RNAcentral. Lineage: Bacteria; Pseudomonadati; Pseudomonadota; Gammaproteobacteria; Enterobacterales; Enterobacteriaceae.
GGGUUGUGAGGUUAAGCGACUAAGCGUACACGGUGGAUGCCCUGGCAGUCAGAGGCGAUGAAGGACGUGCUAAUCUGCGAUAAGCGUCGGUAAGGUGAUAUGAACCGUUAUAACCGGCGAUUUCCGAAUGGGGAAACCCAGUGUGAUUCGUCACACUAUCGUUAACUGAAUACAUAGGUUAACGAA